UUAUGCUUUCGAGUUCCGCCUUGUUUCUCUCUUGCGAUUCCCUUCUCCUCUGUUCUUUGUCUCUCAGAUCUCAUCUCAGUAUAUCAUCCAUCACUCUCUCAAGUCUCACCAUCUCCAAUCUCCAGUCUCCGCCUCUUAGCUCUCAGUUCUCACACCCUCUCCAACUCUCCGCCGUGGUUCACUGGUUCCGCCUCUCCACCGGAAUGCGACUCCGACUUCGGUCCUCUCGGUUCUCGCCUUCGCUCAGGCUCUCAGACACUCAACCCAUUCUCGGAAACCCUAGAUCUGCUAAGCACAACGUAGAUCUGGGCAGAUCUUUGAGGCUUCGACUGGCGGUCCCCUACUCAAAGGGAAAAAACCAAACUUGGCCAUAAAUAUCUAAAAAAUCUAUGUCUCAUUAACAGCAACAUAUGGAAUUUGAGGAGGGGGAAUACAACUUCAACAGCUUUAACUGAACUGACAAGGAUUUUUCACUGCUUUUUUUUGUUUUUAAAAAAAAAAAUUGUUAUUUAUGCUUCAUGUCUCUAAUCAUUAUUUUAUUAGAUUAGUAAAUUGUUGUAAUGUUAAAAAAGUUUUUUGUUGUAAAUUAUUAAUUUAGAUCUUUUAGGUUUAUUUUAGAAUUU
Molecule: long non-coding RNA, 623 nt
Organism: Ipomoea nil (Japanese morning glory)
Lineage: Eukaryota; Viridiplantae; Streptophyta; Magnoliopsida; Solanales; Convolvulaceae
Exons: 3
Source: RefSeq, a predicted model, not a curated record